Molecule: long non-coding RNA, 378 nt
Organism: Saccostrea cuccullata (small rock oyster)
Lineage: Eukaryota; Metazoa; Mollusca; Bivalvia; Ostreida; Ostreidae
Exons: 3
Source: RefSeq, a predicted model, not a curated record
UGCUAUUGACAAAACAUGGCAGGUGUCUGGACAAGUUAUCGUUAAAAUUUUGUACAGGUUCUUUUUAAUAGAUUUCAAUUAAUAUUGUAAUUGAAGACAUAUGACACAUUGAAGUGACAGAAUGACAGCUGGAUCAAUCCCAGUACCUUCUAUUAUUCCUAUUAGGACACCUUUACCUGGGCGGUCCAAACUCUCCAUUGACAGUAACACCAAAAUUGAACUUUCAAUAGAUGGUAAGCAAGAUGUUACAAUAUAUUACACAAUAAAUGGAACAAAACCAGAUCCAUUUCCCAAGGUUGGAGUGGAGAGAUGUACAAUGCAGUACAUUGGUCCGUUUACACUGCCGGCUGGGAAGCAGACUGUCAAGGCAGUAGCAGU